GGAAAAAACAAGGAUUAUUUAGAUCAAUAUAUUGUCUACUUGAUUUUUUGGGUUGAAUUUGAUAGAAGAGGAACUACAAGAGAUCUUUGAUAGCAACACUUCCCAAUAUUCAUGGACUUCCGAACUUGCAAGAAAGAAGAAGCCUCUGUGGAGGGUAAUCCAUAUAUGGGGAUGGAGAUUUAGUAAAAGAAAGAGGUAGUUGAAGAAUCCAUGGACCAUGGUAUCGAUCAAGUUCUCAUUUAUGCGUCAGUUUGAUUAAAUUAGGUCACACAUACAUGUA
This is a long non-coding RNA of Cucumis melo (muskmelon), 280 nucleotides long. RefSeq lists it as uncharacterized. The record is from RefSeq and is a predicted model, not a curated record. The transcript is spliced from 3 exons. NCBI's taxonomy places the organism in Eukaryota, Viridiplantae, Streptophyta, Magnoliopsida, Cucurbitales, Cucurbitaceae.